Molecule: ribosomal RNA, 642 nt
Filed under: uncultured Oxalobacteraceae bacterium
Lineage: Bacteria; Pseudomonadati; Pseudomonadota; Betaproteobacteria; Burkholderiales; Oxalobacteraceae
Description: bacterial SSU rRNA
Rfam family: Bacterial small subunit ribosomal RNA
Source: RNAcentral
AUUGAACGCUGGCGGCAUGCCUUACACAUGCAAGUCGAACGGCAGCGCGGGGGCAACCCUGGCGGCGAGUGGCGAACGGGUGAGUAAUAUAUCGGAACGUGCCCUGGAGUGGGGGAUAACCAGUCGAAAGACUGGCUAAUACCGCAUACGAUCUAAGGAUGAAAGUGGGGGAUCGCAAGACCUCAUGCUCCUGGAGCGGCCGAUAUCUGAUUAGCUAGUUGGUAGGGUAAAAGCCUACCAAGGCUUCGAUCAGUAGCUGGUCUGAGAGGACGACCAGCCACACUGGGACUGAGACACGGCCCAGACUCCUACGGGAGGCAGCAGUGGGGAAUUUUGGACAAUGGGGGCAACCCUGAUCCAGCAAUGCCGCGUGAGUGAAGAAGGCCUUCGGGUUGUAAAGCUCUUUUGUUCGGAAAGAAAUCGCUCUGGCUAAUAUCCGGAGUGGAUGACGGUACCGGAAGAAUAAGCACCGGCUAACUACGUGCCAGCAGCCGCGGUAAUACGUAGGGUGCAAGCGUUAAUCGGAAUUACUGGGCGUAAAGCGUGCGCAGGCGGUUGUGCAAGACAGAUGUGAAAUCCCCGGGCUUAACCUGGGAACUGCAUUUGUGACUGCACGGCUAGAGUGUGUCAGAGGGGGGUAGA